AUUUAAAUAGCUUAAAAUUUAAGAGCAUAAUAUUGAAGAUAUUAAAGUGAUCUUAUGAUCUUUAAAUA
RNAcentral lists this transfer RNA (68 nucleotides) under Pantoporia hordonia. Its description in RNAcentral is "tRNA-Phe". Lineage: Eukaryota; Metazoa; Arthropoda; Insecta; Lepidoptera; Nymphalidae. The record is from RNAcentral.